Long non-coding RNA from Aethina tumida (small hive beetle), 581 nucleotides. RefSeq lists it as uncharacterized. The record is from RefSeq and is a predicted model, not a curated record. The transcript is spliced from 3 exons. NCBI's taxonomy places the organism in Eukaryota, Metazoa, Arthropoda, Insecta, Coleoptera, Nitidulidae.
AUUAUUUCAAACAUUUGAAACUAGUCACAACUUCAUUUAAGUAAUAAACACAUAUUUUGUUUUACAAAAUGAAGACAGUCACUUUUUUUAUAUUAUUCCUUUCAAUGAUGGGUACCGUUUUAGGUUCAUCAAUAAAUGGCAUUCUAACUACAGUUCAAAGAUUCAAUGGAGUGACAUUUCCAUUUAUGAGAUUUUUGACAAUGCCAAUUCCAAUUGUUAAUGUUCUUGUAAUGCAAAUAACUGACUUCAUAACAGCAAUAUUGUCUACAUCACAACUCGCAAUCUCCGUAUACAAUAUGUUAUAAAUAAAAAUAUGUUAAGCAAAUCGGAUAAAUAGCUGGUUCAAUCACUCUUAAUGCUGCUCUCAUCUUAGUAAAUACCAUUCAGAGGUUUAAUGUAGCGGCAUUUCCUGUUGUUAGAUUUUUUAUAAAAUUGAUUCCAUUUUUGAACGAUGACUUUGUGGAGUUAAUUAUCAGUGACCUUACUAUAUUACUAAUUUUGUUAAAACGUGUGCUUUUAGUUUAACACUCUUGUCAAUUUUUAAAUGUAUCUAACACAAAUAAAAGACGGUUGGUUGAAUU